Molecule: ribosomal RNA, 492 nt
Filed under: uncultured bacterium
Lineage: Bacteria
Description: partial 16S ribosomal RNA
Rfam family: Bacterial small subunit ribosomal RNA
Source: RNAcentral
AGUGAACGCUGGCGGUAGGCCUAACACAUGCAAGUCGAACGGCAGCACAGUAAGAGCUUGCUCUUACGGGUGGCGAGUGGCGGACGGGUGAGGAAUACAUCGGAAUCUACUUUUUCGUGGGGGAUAACGUAGGGAAACUUACGCUAAUACCGCAUACGACCUACGGGUGAAAGCAGGGGAUCUUCGGACCUUGCGCGAUUGAAUGAGCCGAUGUCGGAUUAGCUAGUUGGCGGGGUAAGGGCCCACCAAGGCGACGAUCCGUCGCUGGCAUGAGAGGAUGAGCUGCCACACUGGAACUGAGACACGGUCAAGACUCCGACGGGAGACAGCAGUGGGGAAUAUUGGACAAUGGGGUCAAGCCUGAUCCAGCCAGACCGCGUGGGUGAAGAAGGCCUUCGGGUUGUAAAGACCUUUUUUUGGGAAAGAAAAGUGGUUUGUUAAUACCAGGCUGUUCUGACGGUACCCAAAGAAGAAGCGCCGGCUAACUACGUG